This is a long non-coding RNA of Eurytemora carolleeae, 198 nucleotides long. RefSeq lists it as uncharacterized. The record is from RefSeq and is a predicted model, not a curated record. NCBI's taxonomy places the organism in Eukaryota, Metazoa, Arthropoda, Copepoda, Calanoida, Temoridae. The transcript has 3 exons.
CUAUCUGGAAAUGUUCACAGAAGAACAAGAAGAUGUUGAUCUUCCUUGCAACCCAGGACAUGGUGGACUUCUACACCAGGUUCCUCCAGGUUGUACUCUGGGGGGAGGAGGAGGACGAGGAGGAACAAGAAUCUGAGGAGGAUGAGAUGGACGGAGAGACCAAGUCCUUGAUGCAGGGGAAGUUCAAGAUGGACAAGG